CAAAGGAAUUGACGGGGGCCCGCACAAGCGGUGGAGCAUGUGGUUUAAUUCGAAGCAACGCGCAGAACCUUACCAACCCUUGACAUCCUAGGACCGGUCCAGAGAUGGAUCUUUCACUUCGGUGACCUAGUGACAGGUGCUGCAUGGCUGUCGUCAGCUCGUGUCGUGAGAUGCUCGGUUAAGUCCGGCAACGAGCGCAACCCACAUCCCUAGUUGCCAGCAGUUCGGCUGGGCACUCUAUGGAAACUGCCCGUGAUAAGCGGGAGGAAGGUGUGGAUGACGUCAAGUCCUCAUGGCCCUUACGGGUUGGGCUACACACGUGCUACAAUGGUAGUGACAAUGGGUUAAUCCCAAAAAGCUAUCUCAGUUCGGAUUGGGGUCUGCAACUCGACCCCAUGAAGUCGGAAUCGCUAGUAAUCGCGUAACAGCAUGACGCGGUGAAUACGUUCCCGGGCCUUGUACACACCGCCUGUCACACCAUGGGAGUUGGUUCUACCCGA
Molecule: ribosomal RNA, 500 nt
Filed under: uncultured bacterium
Lineage: Bacteria
Description: bacterial SSU rRNA
Rfam family: Bacterial small subunit ribosomal RNA
Source: RNAcentral